UAUGCCCGUCUUAAUAGCGAUUCGCAAAAGAUUCAUUUUUGUUGUUGUCCGCUUUAGGCCCUUCAAAACUGAAGGCCGUCCCUGCCUCCAUCUACAAACUCAAACAAAAAACAACACCAAACAUAUAAAUCGAUAGGCAAAAAGGAGAUAUUUAAAAAUAAAAAAAAUAAGAGAUGAUGACAGCGUGAUUGUGAAUUGAAAAAAAAAUUACUUAUCGGUACGUAAUAGGAGACGGUGAUUCCAUUAUUUCAGGUGGCGAUGGUGUUUUCAGAAUGGGCUAUGGACAUCGAGGACAGAUCUUUGUAGUAAAGACCGAUGGAUAUUUGACUCUUCCACGACCUCCGCUCCGGAUGUAGAGAAAAUUGCUUUUGAUCUGCUUAAUGAGGUUUGUGUUUUGAGUUAGUGUUUUGUUUUGAGGAAUUUUACUAGUGUGUUUUUGUUUGUUGAUUAAUUGAAAGUUUAAGGUUGAUAAAUAAUCAUCAUGUGUAAUUUGAUAUGAAUAGAUUUAUAUUUGGAUGAGGUUGGUUGAACAAAUUCCUCCUGUUGUUCUUUUUGAGGGGAGGUAAAAUGGGUUUGUUUAUUUUUUGUGGGUGAUAUGUUUUGUUAAAUUUGAGGGAGAUUAGAGGGUAUUAAGGUCAUUAGAACAAUAUUUGUUAUUACUAAAUAUCACUUCACUCGCUUUUUGGCGAGUGGAAUGUAAUUGCUGUCAAAAUGGAUGGAAAUGAGUUAACUUGAAGAUGAAUG
Molecule: long non-coding RNA, 744 nt
Filed under: Panax ginseng (ginseng)
Lineage: Eukaryota; Viridiplantae; Streptophyta; Magnoliopsida; Apiales; Araliaceae
Description: long non-coding RNA (PGIN_LNC007073)
Source: RNAcentral